This 253-nucleotide ribosomal RNA is filed under the name uncultured bacterium. RNAcentral's name for it is "partial 16S ribosomal RNA". It matches the Rfam family "Bacterial small subunit ribosomal RNA", at positions 524 to 776 of the family's 1533-position model. The record is from RNAcentral.
UACAGAGGGUGCAAGCGUUAAUCGGAAUUACUGGGCGUAAAGCGCGCGCAGGCGGCUGUCCAAGUCAGUGGUGAAAGCCCGGAGCUCAACUCCGGAACUGCCAUUGAAACUGUUUAGCUUGAGUAUGAGAGAGGUGAGUGGAAUUCCCAGUGUAGAGGUGAAAUUCGUAGAUAUUGGGAAGAACACCGGUGGCGAAGGCGGCUCACUGGCUCAUUACUGACGCUCAGGCGCGACAGCGUGGGGAUCAAACAGG